Long non-coding RNA from Mus musculus (house mouse), 3766 nucleotides. RefSeq annotates it as predicted gene, 52172. The record is from RefSeq and is a predicted model, not a curated record. The transcript is spliced from 3 exons. Lineage: Eukaryota; Metazoa; Chordata; Mammalia; Rodentia; Muridae.
UGGGCAUGCACAGAGAUGCUGGCGGCCCUUGUGGAAGCCACAGGGCCACCAAAGGGAGAUAGCUGGGGACAAUCACUGGAGUCCCUCGGCAGGGGUACCCCACUGCCCCAUCCUGACCUCUGAAUCGGAGAAGGCAGUGUCCCAAUCAUUUUCCAGGCUCAGCCUGCCUGGCCUUUACUGACCAUCAGUCCUUGUGCACAGAGCAGCAUCCUUCCAGGACCUAAGCUGCCUCAGUUUUCUCUGCUUCCCUCCCUUCUGUCUACCUCUGACUAGAAGAAAACCUCCCAGGGCCAUCAGCCUCAGCUGCCACCAGUCUCUCAGCUUUCUCCACCUUAGGCUAUCACUCCUCAGCCUACACGUGCAAGCUCUUGGUAGAACCCGGUUCAAACCUUCAGAAAUGCUGCCCUCAGGGAAAACCCCAGUGCCCAGCAGCAUCCGCAUGGAAUUUGCAGUCAAUACAAGGUUCUGGAAUGCCCAACCUUUUGCACACCAUGGUCUGAUGUCAUCUGCAAGGUUCAGACCCAAGAACCACACAGCAGGUUACAAACAAACAAACAAACAAACAAACAAACAAACCCCAGGAGGCUAACAGCCUCAGAGUGACCAGCGGUGCCCACCUACGGGGCAUCCUCCCCGUUGGCCCAGAAAAAUGCCAUUCACCCUGCCCUCAUUCAGUGCCCAGAUCCCACAUUGCCCAGCCCUCUGCCUCGGUUGCUGCAUGAAGGAAGCUGUAAUGGCUCUGGAAGCCCUGGUUUGAGUUUUAAAAUAAAAUGUUGGGCUGUGGAGACAGCUUAAAGUGUUUGCUUUGCUCUAGCCCCAGAACCCGUGCUGUGGCUGUUGUUGCUGCUACUGCUGCUGCUAUUGUUGUUGUUGUUUUUAAAUCCAGGUCUAGUAGCACACACUUGUAACUCCAGUCCUGGGGACAUAGAGAGAGGUGGGUCCCUGGGCUCACUGACCUGCUGGCAUAGCCUAGCCUACCUGAUGAGUUCCAGGUUAGUGAUAGAACUUGUCUAAAAAAAAAAAAAAAUCAAGACAGAAGAUGCCUAAGGAAUGACUGACACGGACAUUGACCUCUGGUCUACACACACACACACACACACACACACACACACACACACACAAAAUCAAUCAAUGUGUGAGUGUUCCUAGGAGAACCAAGUUUGGUCUUCUGCCUCUCUUCUUGGUAGCCGAUGCUCAAAGAUCAGGAAUCAGAAUCAACAACUGGGCUGAGAUGCGGCCGCCAUGUGUAUUUUGGGGAGAAGCCUGUUCCCGCCCUCAGGAGCUGGAGAGAUGACGCAUCAGUCAAGGCCUUCUGCCCUUCUGAGAGCCUGUGUGCAGUUCUCAGCACUCACACCUGGAGGCUCACAGCUGCCUGUAACUUCAGCCCCAGUGGACCUGACGCCCUCUGGUGGCCUCUGUAGUUGCUGCACUCACAUGCCCAUACACACAAAAUGUUAACAUUGCCUUCUGUUCCUGGCUGACUUAUCCUGAAGUUCUUUGCUAUAACUUCUCCUGCAUGGAGAUUAAAAAAAAAAAAAAAGAAAGAAAUACCCAGCUAGGACUCUCCAGCUCCCCCUGACAAACCCACAUCCUAACAGCAAUGAAAUGGAACAGUCUAGACGCCAGUGAUACACUUUUCCAAGCAGGCCCACCUGAGUCCUACACCACCUGCUUCACCACAUGCCUGACCAUCAAGGCAAAGGGCUGUGAGUGUUCAGUGACUCUCAGCCUGGCUAGGGCACAGCUAAGGAACCCCGGUCUGCACACUGACUCAAUGUCUCUAAGCCUGAUCAUCAGCUCUAGAAAACCAUGGUGAUAGGACAAGUCUGAGCCCAAGACUCAGUUCCAACCUCCUGUGUGGCCACACCCCCCCACCCCUGCCAUGUGCUAACAGCUUCCUCACACAUGAGAACUCCACCCGUGUGAGAAAUCUCUGGUGCUGCAGACCACGCUGGAUGCACAAAAACUUUCAACAUUCCAAAGGAAGAAGAAGUGAGCUUCUCUGAGCCAGCGUUUGCAAACUAGAGGCUACAAGCCCCACCCCUGCCCCAGACAUAGUCAGCUUGCUACAGCUUUGGUUUUUUUUUUUUUUUCAUUGAAUUUGUUGCCAGCAAUAAAAAUUUGAGAGAUUCCCAAUAAAACUUCAUUCUUCUUGGUUUCUAAAAAUAAGCAAUCGUAUUCGUUAUUAUCAUCUUGUCGUUAUUAACAUUCGGUGAUUCUGGCUCAGUCAUGAAAUGCUGAUUAUCCGUCUCCUUGAACAGGAGGAAUCCUACCAUCUCACAGAGUAUAGUUCACUCAUUUUGACAUGUGGUCCACUGUCAGCCAUUUGGGGUUCGUGGCCUUACAGUAACCACACCCUGGCCUAGGAGGGUCAGUGGGAGGUAAGUGAUGACCAAUGAGGCUGUGGGAGAUGGAGUCCCCAAGCCCCAUCCUGAGGUUUACUGCAACUAGUCCCGGUGAAAAUCCCAGAAUCGGGGGGGGGGGGGGAGUGGGCGUGUUAGCUCCACCCAUCUCCAUUCCCUCACGAGUCUAGUGAACAAAGCCACCUGCACCACUGUAGCUGAGCACUGCACUAGAGCUGAGGACUGAGUGGGGACUGAGUGGGCAGAGCAGCAGGGAGGAGCUGAACUGACCACCUGCUCCUGGAGCAGCACCCUAGUGUCACCGAGAUCUUGAUUCCCCACAGAGCCAUCCAAAGUAGAUAUCAUUAAGUCCACUCCAUAUCUGAGGGCCUUGAGCCGAAGAUAGGAGACUGGAGGAGCCCCACCGCUCAGGUGCAGGGGUGACAUUGCAGAUGUCAACUAACUCGGUGCCUCUUUGUCACUGACCCAGAGUCCUUCAAGGCCAUCAUAAGACCCUAGAGUCAGCCUGGGAGCCUCAUUAGUCCUUCCCCGAGCACAGAACAAGGACUGGUCCAGGAGGUGGCAAGAGAGCCCAGCAGGAUGGGUGGGGUGGCCACCACUGGCUGCUUACAUCCCUGAUUCAUCCUGGCUUCCGUUCACAGUGCGGGUGAAGCUAGGGGGUGGGGCCACACUAAUGGAUUUCUGUCAUGUCUCUAACUGGGGGUGCUACUUAAGUAAAUCAGCAAAUUACGCCAACUGCACAAUUCCACGCUUCUGCAGUAGUGACUCUGUGGGGGCUGGGUGUGCAGGAAGCUGUCAGCUCCCCUCAGGAGCUCUACCAGUGGCAGACAACGAGAGCUGAGACCUACAGUCUCCAGGGAUUAUGACAGAGCACAAAGGACCACCUCCCAUGCCCAAGGCCAGGCAGCAGGAGGGAGCUGUACCUUCCCAGGGUGACAGGUUCAAAUAUCUGUUCCCUUCAACAAGGAAGAUGGACAGACCAACGGGAGCUGAACGGAGAGGCGGAUGGAGGAAUACACCUCUCGAUCAAUCCACCUGGUAGCGCUGACUUGUCUCCUUCACAUCAAGAGAGUCUCCAUCUUCCUGGAUCCUUCCUUCCCUUUAGGAGACGGCUUUCAGACUUACCCCUUCAUCUAUGUAAUUGCCCAUCUGUGAGGCUCCUCCGGUCCUCCUUGCUCUCUAGCUGACGGGGAGUAUGGAGGCCAGACUAAGGCUCUUCAAUGGCCUGCUCAUCACCGACUUAGAUAAAGCCUCCUCCUCUGCUUUAGGGCUGUGGCCCCUUGUUACAGGUUUGCCUUCCUGUCCCAGAACCCAGAACAUCUCUGAGUGUGGUAAGACAUCCUGUACAGCACCACCUUCCCACCCUCUACCUGCAUACAGAGAAGUGAGUGUACCCCCAUGCC